UUUUUUACAUUAUCAUGUGCUAUGUUAUGGGUGGUCUACAUGUAAAAUAAAUAAAAAAUAAUAAAUGACAUAGAUAUUGAAUGGAGAGGAGGUCUGAAGAGAACGUUUCAUUUUUUCAUUUGAAAAUCAUAUUCAGAAUUUUGGAUUGAAAACCUUAUCGGAAGUGCGCCGUCGUUUAUCAAUCAACAGAGCAGAUUCCGACGUUGUUCCAUCGUUUAUUGGAUAUAAAAGUGAUGUUCAGCCAUUGAUGAUUCUUAGUGCAGAGUUUUGACAGAGACGGAUUAUGCAGAGUAUUAUGCAAAGAGGGAGAGAUAUUCAAAAUGGAUUUUUAUUUCUCAUUAGUCUAAGAUGAAUGCAAGUACAAGGUAUAUAAACUGGAAGAGUGUAAGCUAACUGUCUAAAAGAAUCAGUUAUUACAGUUGGAAGGGAAAACUCAUAUUAACAACAAUACACCCU
This 456-nucleotide long non-coding RNA is filed under the name Vigna radiata. RNAcentral's name for it is "long non-coding RNA (VRAD_LNC008920)". The record is from RNAcentral. Lineage: Eukaryota; Viridiplantae; Streptophyta; Magnoliopsida; Fabales; Fabaceae.